CCUACGGGAUGCAGCAGUGGGGAAUAUUGCACAAUGGGGGAAACCCUGAUCCAGCGACGCAGCGUGAGCGAUGACGUACUUCGGUAUGUAACGCUCCAUCAGCAGGGAAGAAAAUGACGGUACCUGACUAUGAAGCUCCAGCUCACUACGUGAAAGCAGCCGCGGUAAUACGUAGGGGUCGAGCGUUAUCCGGCUUUACUCGGUGUAAAGGUAGCGUAGACUGCUGUUCAAGCCAGAUGUGAAAGCCCGGGGCUCAACCCGGGGACUGCAUUUGAAACCGUGUGGCUUGAGUGUCGGAGAGGCAGGCGGAAUUCCUAGUGUAGCGGUGAAAUGCUUAGAUAUUAGGAGGAACACCGGUUGCGAAGGCAGCCUGCUGGACGAUGACUGACGUUGAGGCUCGAAAGCGUGGGGAGCAAACAGGAUUAGAUACCCGGGUAGUC
RNAcentral lists this ribosomal RNA (440 nucleotides) under uncultured bacterium. RNAcentral describes it as "partial 16S ribosomal RNA". It matches the Rfam family "Bacterial small subunit ribosomal RNA", at positions 338 to 795 of the family's 1533-position model. The record is from RNAcentral.